CCCACACUCUGGCGUAGGUCCUCUUAGCAGGGAAUGAGAUAAUAACUGAUGACAUGAAGAAAGCUGAGGUGUUUAAUGCCUAUUUUGAUUCAGCCUUCACUAAAAAGGUUAAUGGUGACCAGAUACUCAACACAAGGAGGAAAG
Dermochelys coriacea (leatherback sea turtle) is the source of this 144-nucleotide long non-coding RNA. RefSeq lists it as uncharacterized. The record is from RefSeq and is a predicted model, not a curated record. NCBI's taxonomy places the organism in Eukaryota, Metazoa, Chordata, Testudines, Dermochelyidae. The transcript is spliced from 3 exons.